RNAcentral lists this transfer RNA (48 nucleotides) under Poa palustris. RNAcentral's name for it is "partial tRNA-Phe". The record is from RNAcentral. Lineage: Eukaryota; Viridiplantae; Streptophyta; Magnoliopsida; Poales; Poaceae.
CAAGAAAAGGUCAGGAUAGCUCAGUUGGUAGAGCAGAGGACUGAAAUC